Molecule: long non-coding RNA, 742 nt
Organism: Cryptomeria japonica (Japanese cedar)
Lineage: Eukaryota; Viridiplantae; Streptophyta; Pinopsida; Cupressales; Cupressaceae
Exons: 2
Source: RefSeq, a predicted model, not a curated record
GAUAGGCAAUCCCCUGUGGGGUUGGGCCCCCACCGAAAUUGUCUCACGCCACCAAAACGCAAAUUUCCAAUUGUCGGCGAAUUUUUUUCCGAUAGGCUAAAGCUCAUGCAACGCGUGGUUAGGGUUUACAUUCCACAUGUGGUGUAGAUUGGUGUGGCUAUUUUCAUCCCGAGUCAUAUUGCUGGCAAUGACCGCUUGAAUCAUUUGGAUAUAGUUGCGGUAGGUUUCCCAAUUCAGAUCGAUAGGCCAGGGGGGGGACAUUUAGGGUUUAUUUUGUAACCAAUCUAUUCUUCUCGAGCGAGUAACUAUCUACCUCUGUCUUCUUUACCUCAUCAUUGCCUGGCAUCCAUCGAGUAUUGCUUGUGUGUAGCUUCAUCUUUGGUGCAGAGGACGGGACAAAGCACAAAAUCCAUAUCAGACUCUUCCAGUCAACAAUCAUCACCGAAAUUGUCUCACGCCGCCAAAUUGUUACUUUCCCGUUGCCGCCAAAAAAUUUCCCGAAAGGCUUUCUGCUACAGCUCCGCGUGGUUAGGGUUUACACUCCAGCUGUGAUGGACAUUGAUGUGGUUGCCUGCAUGCGGGUUGCAUUUUCAUUCCGAGGUGUAUUGCUGGCAACAACCGCCUGAACCCAUCUACCGGAUCAAGAUAAGAAUCCACUGGUUAAUGUACUGAUGACUGAACAUAGUCGACUCCCCAGGAAUUUAUCUCCAACAAAGCUGAGCGAACGCGACUCCCCCUCACU